UACAUCGUGGUGUGUUUUUUUUUUUUUUUGUUAUAUUUUGGAUUUGGAUUUUUUGAGAGAAAUAUUAAUUUUGUAUUCCGCCUUCGACAAUAACAAAGUUUUGCUCCGUCUUCGCCUUUGGACGUAGGCCAGUGGCCGAACCACGUAAACAUUGUGUUCUUUAUUUUUCUUCUUUAUUUUUCGAUUCUCUUUUGGUAUUUUUAUUCCUGACGAAUUAGAUCUUUUCGGUUUUCGUCAUAACAAAAUAAAUAAAAAAGCUAAAGAGAAAAAGAAAUAGUAAAAUGUAUAGAAAGAAUACAAAGAAGAAGAUAAAGAAAAAAAAAAUUAUAAGCAGAAAAAGCUGAAGAGAAAGAAGCAGUAACAACAAAAAUAUAAGAAGAAUAAAAGAAGAGUAAAGGCAAAACCAUAAGAAGAAUAAAUGCAAAACCAUACAAAAAAAUAAAUUAUGUUUGUUCCAGUGGUAAAAGCACAAGAAGGAUAAAAGAGUAGAAGCAGUAGCAACAGUAGUAAAGUAAAUAGAAGAAAAAGGAGGAACCAUAAAUAAUAACAAAAGAAGAAGAAUGAGCAUACUAAUAAAGCCAAAGGUGUGCUGAUUUGUUGUCUUAUUUGACCAUCCAUCUUUUGAUAUACCUUAUUCUCUUUAGCUUGGUAUUUUACUAUUUAUUCGGUGUACCUACUCUAUUGCCGCUUGUCGUCAUCGUCACAAUAUAAACUGAAAAAUUGAAUGAAAUAUAGGUUUACAAGUUUUUAUGAAUGACAAAAUUGAAAAUACAAAAUGGUUAAAAAAAAAAAGAAUAAUUGCAUACAACUCUCUGCAAAUGUAUUAAAUAGCAGACAAGUCUCUACAAAACUUAAGUGAUUAGAUUUAUCCCUCCAAAAAUUCUUGUGUAUGCAAAUAUGUCCUUCUAUUAUAAAUUUAUAGGGAACCAUAAGUUAAAAAAGUUAAACACGGUUAGUAAAGAAUAAAAUAACCUUUUUAGGCCCAAUAUAUAUAAUUUAUAUUAUAAUGUU
RNAcentral lists this long non-coding RNA (1011 nucleotides) under Ananas comosus (pineapple). RNAcentral describes it as "long non-coding RNA (ACOM_LNC011902)". Lineage: Eukaryota; Viridiplantae; Streptophyta; Magnoliopsida; Poales; Bromeliaceae. The record is from RNAcentral.